RNAcentral lists this ribosomal RNA (619 nucleotides) under Escherichia coli. Its description in RNAcentral is "partial 23S ribosomal RNA". It matches the Rfam family "Bacterial large subunit ribosomal RNA", at positions 2312 to 2925 of the family's 2925-position model. The record is from RNAcentral. Lineage: Bacteria; Pseudomonadati; Pseudomonadota; Gammaproteobacteria; Enterobacterales; Enterobacteriaceae.
GAAGGUUGGCUAAUCCUGGUCGGACAUCAGGAGGUUAGUGCAAUGGCAUAAGCCAGCUUGACUGCGAGCGUGACGGCGCGAGCAGGUGCGAAAGCAGGUCAUAGUGAUCCGGUGGUUCUGAAUGGAAGGGCCAUCGCUCAACGGAUAAAAGGUACUCCGGGGAUAACAGGCUGAUACCGCCCAAGAGUUCAUAUCGACGGCGGUGUUUGGCACCUCGAUGUCGGCUCAUCACAUCCUGGGGCUGAAGUAGGUCCCAAGGGUAUGGCUGUUCGCCAUUUAAAGUGGUACGCGAGCUGGGUUUAGAACGUCGUGAGACAGUUCGGUCCCUAUCUGCCGUGGGCGCUGGAGAACUGAGGGGGGCUGCUCCUAGUACGAGAGGACCGGAGUGGACGCAUCACUGGUGUUCGGGUUGUCAUGCCAAUGGCACUGCCCGGUAGCUAAAUGCGGAAGAGAUAAGUGCUGAAAGCAUCUAAGCACGAAACUUGCCCCGAGAUGAGUUCUCCCUGAGACUUAGAGUCUCCUGAAGGAACGUUGAAGACGACGACGUUGAUAGGCCGGGUGUGUAAGCGCAGCGAUGCGUUGAGCUAACCGGUACUAAUGAACCGUGAGGCUUAACCUU